GCUGGGCAUGGUGGCGCAUGCCUGUAAUUGCAGCUGCUUGGAAGGCUGAGGCAGGAGGAUCGUGAGUUCAAAGCCAACCUCAACAAUGGCUAGGUGCUGAGCAAUUCAGUGAGGCCCUAUCUCUAAAUAAAAUACAAAAUAGGGCUAGGGAUGUGGGUCAGUGGUUGAAUACUCCUGAGUUCAGUCCCCAGUUCCAAAAAAAAAAAAAAGUUGUUUUUGAGACAGGAUUUUAUUAAGUUGUGAGACUGGUCUUGAACUUAUGCUCCUUCUGCCUCAG
Molecule: small RNA, 277 nt
Filed under: Marmota monax (woodchuck)
Lineage: Eukaryota; Metazoa; Chordata; Mammalia; Rodentia; Sciuridae
Source: RNAcentral